CUUUCUCUCCACAGCCCCCAUCUCUAACCACAAACAAGCCCCCCACGAUGACAUGUGCAAAUCAUUCAAUACCUGUGGACGUCCUGGGCUCUGAAAUCAAGGCUAUCUCCCUUGGUCUGCAGUCUAUCAGCGGAAUAACAUCAAACUCUCCUGCCUCUAGGCUUGUUUUCUAAAAGGUCAUCAGGGGAGUUGCUGUGGCUCUGGUGUAGGCCGGUGGCUACAGCUCCGAUGAGACCCCUAGCCUGGGAACCUCCAUAUGCCGCGGGAGCGGCCCAAGAAGUGACAAAUAAAUAAAUAAAUAAAUAAAUAAAUGGUCAUCAGAAGAAAACAGGAUGUGUCUGAGUAGGUGAACUACUAGCUUUUAGAGAAAAGGAAAAAGAAAAGCCCCACAUUUCUUCAAAAAUUCAAAUGGUUUAUUCUUUUUCCCCUCUUUGCCACAGAUAUGAGGACUGAGAAGAAACUUAGUGAUGCUCUGGAUCAGAGUGAGGACUAGAGCCCAGAGAUGUUCAGGGACUUGUUCAAGGUCACCCAGCAGGUUAGCAGCAGAACCAGAAGGAAGUCAAGCCCCCCACCUCCUGGUCCAGCGCUGUGGGUGGCCCAGCUCUGCUUCCACAUUAGAUCAUCAAUGCGUCUUCAGACAUGGGUUGAUGGCCAUUUAGAAGCUAGGCAGUGGUCAACGAGACGUCGAAGGUGUUGGUGAAAGUGUUGCAGAUUCUCAGUAGAAAUCUAAAGUAGAGCAGAGCAGGAAAUAAAAGAUGGGGGUGAGGGCAGAAUUGGGGGGCAGCCUGGCAUGGAAAGUCUCACUUCUCGAUGAGGGGGAGCUGCUGGCCCUUCCAGUGGGAAGAACUUGCUAUGCACCAAAGUGACCAUCUCUGACUCCCAAGGGUAUCGCUUCCAGACUCGAGGACCCCACACUGCAUUGUCCUUCUGCCCGUGAGUGGCCGCUGCACCACCACAAGGUGGUGGGAACAUGCCAUGGGCUGUCACUUCAGGUCCUGGUGAAGGUGGAAGAGUGAAGGUCCUGCCCAUACCACCACUAUUAGGUGACAUUUGAGCUCUUCCCCUGGGCCACGCCCUGAGCUACGUGCGUUGCUUACGUCAUCACGUCCGGUCUUCAUAUCGGGUAGGUUCUAUUAUCAAUCCCAUUUCAGAGGUAAGAAAACUGAGUCUUGGAGAAGUUUCGUAAUCGGCCCAGAGUCACAGAGCUAGUGAAUGCCAAAGUCAGAAUUCAAAUUCUCCUUUCUAGAGAAGGGUGGCUCAAAGCAUGGGCUCUGGGGUCCGAUUGCCUGGAUGUGAACCCUGGGUCCCUGCUCGCUAGCUGUGAGGUGUUUAACACAAUACAUAACCUCCCCCAGCCGCCCUUUCUUCAUCUGUAAGGUUGUAACAGUAAUUACAGUUUUUAGCUUAUAGGUUUGUGAUGAUUAGAGAAUAUAACAUAGUCACUAUUGACACAUAGUUAAUUACUAGUUGUGAAGGAGUUAACUAUAGUUCAUCUACAGGUUGACUCCCAUGACAUUGCUCUUGUGGUAGACUGAGAAUGGUCAAAUAUUGACAUUUCAUAUGAUUCACUCUAAUACCACGUAGGCAUAUUCAUUUUUGGUAAAUAUAACGACGGUUCCCUUAUUCAUCUCAUAAUUUGUGAAAGGACAGGUGUUUAAUGGCUUCAGUACACUUUUUUUUUUCUCUUGACUUUCCUGCUCAUUGUACUUUCUCUAAAGAACCACAUGGAGGGAGUUCCCAUCAUGGCGCAGCAGAAAAUGAAUCCAACUAGGAAACUUGAGGUUGCGGGUUUGAUCCCUGGCCUUGCUCAGUGGGUUGAGGCUCCGGCGUUGCUGUGAACUGUGGUAUAGGUUGCAGACGUGGCUCAGAUCCUGUGUUGCUAUGGCUCUGGAGUAUGCCGGCGGCUACAGUUCUGAUUAGACCCCUAGCCUAGAACCUCUAUAUGCUGCAGGAGCAGCCCUAAAAAAGGCAAAAAGACAAAAAAACAAAAACAAAAACAAAAACAAGAAAACAAAAAACAAAAAGAAAGACUACAUCUAUGGUGCAUGAUGGAGGGGGGGGCGCUUUUGCUGCUCAAAGAGGAUUCUCAGCCCCACCCCCAUCACCGCUCCCAGCAUAUGUUGGCCUCAGUCCUCUUUCCUUAGAUUUCAUAUUUAUAAGAAUACAAAUAGCACUGGAAUUCAAGGGAAGCACUCAGGAGAGACAGCCUUGCUAGUUAAUACAGGAAUAAUCUUUCACUAAAAUUAGUCUCACCAAUGAAAUGGACUGACAUCUCCAGGGAAGCUUCAGACUUUCUUGGUGUCUGGAAUGGAGAUUACUACUGGGUUUAGAGUAUAAUACCCCCUGUGAUGUCAGAAUUCUGUUCUGUGUGUGUGUGUGUGUGUGUGUGUGUGUGAGUGUGUGUGUGUGUGUGUGUGUGUAUGUCUGUGUGUCUGGGGCUAUGUUCUUUUCUUUCUUUCCACAUUUAACAAAAUAGUCUGGAAGUCUUUUAAAGCAUCUAUGGCAAGGAGGUUUCCAGAUUAUGCGUGGAUCCCAUGAUUUGAUCCCAAGAUUUGUUUUUUCCCACCAUGGCGCCUGUUAACCCGAUGAAAAUGCAUUUGCAUACCCAUGAACGCAGACACACUUGGAGUCGUUUUCUUUCUCUGUGCCCUAUUCCUUUUCUCCUCUUUGUGUCUAUGGUUACUGUUAAGCUGACCCCUACAGUCUGGGGCAAAUACCAAGCACCACUUCUCCAUACAGCUGCAAAGGCUGCAGUCUCAGGGGCUCAGAUGACAGUUUAAGGUGAAAUUCCUUUAUCCUGUUGCAGUUCGGGAAACUUGUCAGGAUUCCAUGCACAAGGUGAGCUGCUUAGGACUCGCCGUGCUGAAUUUUCAAAACGGUGUCUUGCUGUUAUUUUUGUGUGGUUUUGUUUUACAAGCACGACUUUUAUGAACUUUUUUGUCUGGGGGUGAGUAGGAUGGGGUUGUUAUAAUAUUGAACCUUAUCCUUGGAAACAAUGACAGAAAGAUUUUCUCUUUUAUUUGACUCUCCCUUCUUCUGGUUUCUGUGAGAAGCUAUUGCUUGCAAAAACCAUAGCGAAUUAAAAAAUUGCACUUAUUCAGCUGCACAGAAGCAGGAGUGGGGGCUGGCUAGGGGCGGGAGGAAGAGCCAGCGCCCCCGGAGUGCUCCCUCGCCUCAUUCAUGCUGCCUUCGUCCUUCCCUUCGCUUUAAGCGUCAUCCCGUCAUCCCGGGGCUCCGUGCUUUUGUGUCAGCGGGCCCUAGAGUGAUCUGGGGCUGGGAGACGGACAGGAGAGGGCUUACCCGUUGCCACGGGCUCUGCUUACAACAGCCCGACAAACAGCUUCCGCGGGCCGGGGCACGGGGCUGGCGUGCCUGCGGCCGCCGCAGAAACCGGUUCUCGGGUCUGGCCGCGUGUACUUCCCCUUACAUCAGGGGCCGGCCGCUGUCAGGCAGGCCGGCCUGCGAUUGGUUGGGAGGAGGGCAGUAAUCCGAACUGCCUUUUGUACUUGGCUAAUCAGGGCAGCCGUUUGAUUGCAGGUUGCGAGCCGAGGUGCCUGGGUGGUGUCUGACACCUGUGUCUUAGCUCUCACUUCCCGGGCUGCCUCCCGGGGAUUCUUUCCCGGCCCGGAAUCGGAAUCGUGCCCCCAGCCACCGCCCCCAAGCCCCUGAGCCCCCUCGAUGGGCCGGCUUGGCCCAGUGUCAUGCUGGACAGAGAUGCCCAACAGAUAGCGGAGGACAGUGGAAAUGCAGGCUUAGACUUCCUUAAGGUAAGACCAUUUUCCACCGGAUUGUUUCUCGAUGUGAUUUCUGCGUUUGUCUCCACAGAAAUGCUGGCAUCGCAGAAGGUAAACUACAGGGAGGCAGGGAAGUUGUUUAGUUAGGCCUUCAUGAUGAAUUCCUACGUGAUUUGGCUGUCAGAUGUGCUGGCAGAAUGAUUCCAAGGCAUAAAUAAAGAUGUACAACGGGAAGGGUGGACAAAGGCCUGUGGUCCUUGCGGGCAGUCGGCACUUCUCUGCGCGCUCCUUCCUGUGUGAGAGAAGCUGAAGUGAUGCCAAGUGACCCUUCACUAGGACCAGCAAAUAUAUAUGUGCUUGUGCAGAAGGUUUCUUCCAGCCAUGCAACCCCAGGAUUUACCAUCUGAUUCUAAUUACCACUUCUUUUUAAAGCUCCCUUUAAUUUUUUAUCUUGUGAUAUGAAAGCAGUUUUUCCUUUGAGGGUCUGCCCAGAUUAGGGGAGUCAGUGGUGCACAGGCUUUGAUGGCCCUGCUUGGCUCACUUCCCUCCACCCUUGUGGUCAUCCAGAUUUGAGCAGCAGUGAGAUGCUUAGGAAUAUGGGGCCACGAUCCUGAUUAAGCUUCAGCUCUGCUCUGAUUUCAUUUUAUGUACUUUUAAGUUGAUUGAGAAGUAACUUUGGGGACCAUCCUGACUUCCCGUGGGGACCUCUCCUUGGACCUGCUGUCAGCAUGCUUUCAUUCCAGGGUUGAGGCACCCAGGGGUGGUGAGAGGACUCGUGGUUUGGACUUACAGCUUUGCUUGUUUGUACUGACAGGGAGGAGACAAUUGUGUGUGUGUGGUUUUUUUAAUGAAAAUUGUCUGUAAAUGGGUAAAGAUCCAUUUAUAAAUCCAAAGAGGUUCUGAGACUUUACCCACCACGUUAAUUGCAAAGGUAAUACAGAGAUGUUCCUCAAUUCUAAAUGAUUCAAUUCAAGUAAUAAACAGUAAGGACAGACAGCAGUGGUGAAAACCAGGCAAUAAGCCUUCAGAAGCCAUAUGCUUGCAAUCUGUUAAUCCUGAAAUGUGUGUUUGUCUUCCAAUAUUUAUAGCCAGUUGGAAAUCUCCAUCUUUCUCAGCCGUUAGCUAACUCUUCUUGAUAAAGACAUUUUCCUGUAAUAGGAGCAAUGUAUUGGUAAUCCUAACUAUAAAUAUUUAAAUGACUGUUUUGAUGAAUGAAAGUGUCAGAAAUGACAUUGCCCAUGAGAAGAAAUGUGGUCAUUACACACAUCGACAGAAAUCCUUUAAAAUACAACGUGGGUGCAAAUAGUACAGAUGAUGGUGAUCAUUGAAAAAUUAGAUCUCUUGGUAGGUAGAUACUAAGUGAAUUUAUUUUAUUUUUAUUUUUUAUUUUUAUUUUUUUGGUCUUUUUGCCUUUUCUGGGGCCGCUCCUGCAGCAGGUUCCCAGGCUGGGGGUCGAAUCGGAGCUGUAGCCACUGGCCUACACUACAGCUCACAGCAACGCUGGAUCGUUAACCCACUGAGCAAGGCCAGGGAUCGAACCCGCAACCUCAUGGUUCCUAGUCAGAUUCGUUAACCACUGAGCCACGACAGGAACUCCCCAUUAAGUGAAUUUAUUAAUGUCGAGGGAGUUAAAAAGGAGGAAUGAAUGUUGUAAACUAAACAAAUGUUGAUUUAUUUAGCACUGAUGGAAAUUUCACAAUUCUACCUUGCUUACAACCUAGAGUGUAUACAUCAAAAAUGAUUUCCUGGGUUAAGGAUAAGUUACCAUUGUAUGGGGGAGGAAUAAAUACCAUUUGAGCCGGAAUCACU
This 5543-nucleotide long non-coding RNA is filed under the name Sus scrofa (pig). RNAcentral's name for it is "lncRNA (ENSSSCG00000041895.1)". Lineage: Eukaryota; Metazoa; Chordata; Mammalia; Artiodactyla; Suidae. The record is from RNAcentral.